AACGAACGCUGGCGGCAGGCUUAACACAUGCAAGUCGAGCGCCCCGCAAGGGGAGCGGCAGACGGGUGAGUAACGCGUGGGAAUCUACCGUGCCCUGCGGAAUAGCUCCGGGAAACUGGAAUUAAUACCGCAUACGCCCUUCGGGGGGAAAGAUUUAUCGGGGUAUGAUGAGCCCGCGUUGGAUUAGCUAGUUGGUGGGGUAAAGGCCUACCAAGGCGACGAUCCAUAGCUGGUCUGAGAGGAUGAUCAGCCACAUUGGGACUGAGACACGGCCCAAACUCCUAUGGGAGGCAGCAGUGGGGAAUAUUGGACAAUGGGCGCAAGCCUGAUCCAGCCAUGCCGCGUGAGUGAUGAAGGCCCUAGGGUUGUAAAGCUCUUUCACCGGUGAAGAUAAUGACGGUAACCGGAGAAGAAGCCCCGGCUAACUUCGUGCCAGCAGCCGCAGUAA
RNAcentral lists this ribosomal RNA (448 nucleotides) under uncultured bacterium. Its description in RNAcentral is "partial 16S ribosomal RNA". It matches the Rfam family "Bacterial small subunit ribosomal RNA", at positions 29 to 523 of the family's 1533-position model. The record is from RNAcentral.